GUUCACUGCCGUACAGGUAGCUUAGAAA
Non-coding RNA from Methylomicrobium album BG8, 28 nucleotides. The record is from Rfam. NCBI's taxonomy places the organism in Bacteria, Pseudomonadati, Pseudomonadota, Gammaproteobacteria, Methylococcales, Methylococcaceae.